GACGAACGCUGGCGGCGUGCUUAACACAUGCAAGUCGAACGGUGAUCUUGGGAGCUUGCUCUUGGGUGAUCAGUGGCGAACGGGUGAGUAACACGUGAGUAACCUGCCCCUGACUCUGGAAUAACUUCGGGAAACCGAAGCUAAUACCGGAUACGACACAGAGCUGCAUGGCUACUGUGUGGAAAGUUUUUCGGUUGGGGAUGGACUCGCGGCCUAUCAGCUUGUUGGUGAGGUAAUGGCUCACCAAGGCGACGACGGGUAGCCGGCCGGAGAGGGCAAUCGGCCACACUGGGACUGAGACACGGCCCAGACUCCUACGGGAGGCAGCAGUGGGGAAUAUUGCACAAUGGGCGAAAGCCUGAUGCAGCGACGCCGCGUGAGGGAUGAAGGCCUUCGGGUUGUAAACCUCUUUCAGUAGGGAAGAAGCGCAAGUGACGGUACCUACAGAAGAAGCACCGGCUAACUACGUGCCAGCAGCCGCCGUAA
This 486-nucleotide ribosomal RNA is filed under the name uncultured bacterium. Its description in RNAcentral is "partial 16S ribosomal RNA". It matches the Rfam family "Bacterial small subunit ribosomal RNA", at positions 28 to 523 of the family's 1533-position model. The record is from RNAcentral.